GACGAAGGUGGCAAGCGUUACUCGGAAUUACUAGGCGUAAAGGGCAGGUAGGUGGUUUGAUUAGUCUGUUGUGAAAGCUCCCGGCUCAACCGGGAGAGGCCAACAGAUACUGUCAGACUUGAGUAUGGGAGAGGAUACUGGAAUUCCCGGUGUAGCGGUGAAAUGCGCAGAGAUCGGGAGGAACACCAAUGGCGAAAGCAAGUAUCUGGACCAUUACUGACACUCAGCUGCGAAAGCUAGGGGAGCAAACAGG
This 253-nucleotide ribosomal RNA is filed under the name uncultured bacterium. Its description in RNAcentral is "partial 16S ribosomal RNA". It matches the Rfam family "Bacterial small subunit ribosomal RNA", at positions 524 to 776 of the family's 1533-position model. The record is from RNAcentral.